CGUAGGUGCGAGCGUUGUCCGGAAUUAUUGGGCGUAAAGAGCUUGUAGGCGGCUUGUCGCGUCUGCUGUGAAAGCCAGGGGCUUAACCCCGGGUCUGCAGUGGGUACGGGCAGGCUAGAGUGUGGUAGGGGAGACUGGAAUUCCUGGUGUAGCGGUGGAAUGCGCAGAUAUCAGGAGGAACACCGAUGGCGAAGGCAGGUCUCUGGGCCAUUACUGACGCUGAGAAGCGAAAGCGUGGGAGCGAACAGAAUU
RNAcentral lists this ribosomal RNA (252 nucleotides) under uncultured bacterium. Its description in RNAcentral is "partial 16S ribosomal RNA". It matches the Rfam family "Bacterial small subunit ribosomal RNA", at positions 526 to 779 of the family's 1533-position model. The record is from RNAcentral.